This 1031-nucleotide long non-coding RNA is filed under the name Cottoperca gobio. RNAcentral's name for it is "lncRNA (ENSCGOG00000012070.1)". The record is from RNAcentral. Lineage: Eukaryota; Metazoa; Chordata; Actinopteri; Perciformes; Bovichtidae.
AGAUGCUGUAGCUCAAACAACCGCUAGAAGACAAACGCCGUGGUCCUCCCACCUCCCCAAAGCUCCUGAGUGCAGCCCAAGGAACAGGAACUAUUUUUAAUAGCCCGAUGAAUGGGACUAUGCCUUGCGCUGCACCCUGAGCCUGACUCUGUGUGAAGUGGGGCGAAUAAGCGGACAGAGGGACAGUAUUUUCUUUCAGUGAGACCCGAGGUGGAAAAUACGCAGCAAUGACAGAGCAGCAGUCGUGCGCAGCGGCAAAAUAGACCAACUAUUUGUGGGGACGGGAGAUUGAUAACACCACUGGGCGAGCAACGAGAGCGGCAGAUGUAAUUUCCAAACGGUCCAGCUGGUUUGGUGCCAGUGGUGUGUUGGAUGGGUUAUUAUUGCGUUCUCCCUUUUCAUCAUCCACUGCUUCCAGCGUUUCCAGAUUACUUGGGGAUCUCGGACGGCUGUCUGUGAGGGAGUAUUGGUGCAGAGACUAACGGGGAAUGCCAUGUGUCGUUGCGCGACAUAGACGCUCUUUGUGGGCUGUUUUGCACCGGGGACAGGUGGUGCCGUGUGUGUGUGUAUGUUGAAAUUAGCAGGGGGCACGGACACACAACCCCUGAGACAGUUGUCUUAGGGAUGUCAGGCCGGCGUACGGGAUCAGCUUUUGCCAGAGACAGGUGCGACAGGGAGGAGUAGUUUACAAAGCCCUACACAGGAUCUGGUAACGCACUAACAAGCCUCCUCUCGCCUCUGAUCACUCGGAUUUUUUUGUAUCCAGCGGGACUGACAAUCGACUCAUACUGCCGUUUCUCGGCGGCACCUUUCCACAGAUAAACAGAGACUUCGCCGUUGUGUUGCUAUGGCGACCAUGGCCCCUCCCUUCUUCCUGCUGUGUUGGCUGCUCCGAGCGGCCAGCUCGGCGUUCCCAGAGGAACCGUUGCCCCUCAACUUCAUCCCCACUGAAGGUAUUGACCUCGCCGAUUUUCUCACCCUGUAGCUGCCUUCUCCCCUGUGUGCCUCUCUCCCAGGUCGUGACGUGUGAG